This 72-nucleotide transfer RNA is filed under the name Candidatus Woesearchaeota archaeon CG10_big_fil_rev_8_21_14_0_10_34_8. RNAcentral's name for it is "tRNA-Asn". It matches the Rfam family "tRNA". From Rfam's summary of the family: Transfer RNA (tRNA) molecules are approximately 80 nucleotides in length. Their secondary structure includes four short double-helical elements and three loops (D, anti-codon, and T loops). Further hydrogen bonds mediate the characteristic L-shaped molecular structure. tRNAs have two regions of fundamental functional importance: the anti-codon, which is responsible for specific mRNA codon recognition, and the 3' end, to which the tRNAs corresponding amino acid is attached (by aminoacyl-tRNA synthetases). tRNAs cope with the degeneracy of the genetic code in two manners: having more than one tRNA (with a specific anti-codon) for a particular amino acid; and 'wobble' base-pairing, i.e. permitting non-standard base-pairing at the 3rd anti-codon position. RNAcentral also lists the same sequence under 1 other name. The record is from RNAcentral. Lineage: Archaea; Nanobdellati; Candidatus Woesearchaeota.
GCCCCAGUAGCUUAGUGGUGGAGCGUGCGGCUGUUAACCGCAAGGUCACCGGUUCAAACCCGGUCUGGGGCG